AGCGAACGCUGGCGGCAGGCCUAACACAUGCAAGUCGAACGAACUCUUCGGAGUUAGUGGCGGACGGGUGAGUAACACGUGGGAACGUGCCUUUAGGUUCGGAAUAACUCAGGGAAACUUGUGCUAAUACCGAAUGUGCUCUUCGGGGGAAAGAUUUAUCGCCUUUAGAGCGGCCCGCGUCCGAUUAGCUAGUUGGUGAGGUAAAGGCUCACCAAGGCGACGAUCAGUAGCUGGUCUGAGAGGAUGAUCAGCCACAUUGGGACUGAGACACGGCCCAAACUCCUACGGGAGGCAGCAGUGGGGAAUCUUGCGCAAUGGGCGAAAGCCUGACGCAGCCAUGCCGCGUGAAUGAUGAAGGUCUUAGGAUUGUAAAAUUCUUUCACCGGGGACGAUAAUGACGGUACCCGGAGAAGAAGCCCCGGCUAACUUCGUG
This 433-nucleotide ribosomal RNA is filed under the name uncultured bacterium. RNAcentral's name for it is "partial 16S ribosomal RNA". It matches the Rfam family "Bacterial small subunit ribosomal RNA", at positions 29 to 507 of the family's 1533-position model. The record is from RNAcentral.